RNAcentral lists this ribosomal RNA (298 nucleotides) under uncultured bacterium. RNAcentral describes it as "partial 16S ribosomal RNA". It matches the Rfam family "Bacterial small subunit ribosomal RNA", at positions 333 to 650 of the family's 1533-position model. The record is from RNAcentral.
UGACCUACGGGGGGCAGCAGUGGGGGAUAUUGCACAAUGGGGGAAACCCUGAUGCAGCGACGCCGCGUGUGGGAAGACGGUCUUCUGGAUUGUAAACCACUGUCCCCAGGGACGAAAAUGACGGUACCUGGGGAGGAAGCUCCGGCUAACUACGUGCCAGCAGCCGCGGUAAUACGUAGGGAGCAAGCGUUGUCCGGAAUUACUGGGUGUAAAGGGAGCGUAGUCGGGGAUGCAAGUUGGGUGUCAAAACUACCGGCUCAACCGAUGGUCGCACUCAAAACUUCAGCGCUUGAGUGAA